UUAGCUCUUCAUACCUUGGUAGAACUGUAGAAGUAUACUGAUCGAUCGUAUUGGGUAAGGAUCGGGUAAUCUGCAUCCUGAGGUUUAGAUCAGCUUUGUUUUGUUGUUUCUAGCCCUCGGGGUGCAGAUUACCUCGUCCUCACUGCCAAUGCAAGACUUGUUAGCUAGUACUAAUAUAUCAAACCAAUGAAGCUAA
RNAcentral lists this microRNA precursor (196 nucleotides) under Prunus persica (peach). RNAcentral's name for it is "miR2111b stem-loop (ppe-MIR2111b)". Lineage: Eukaryota; Viridiplantae; Streptophyta; Magnoliopsida; Rosales; Rosaceae. The record is from miRBase by way of RNAcentral.